GGAGGAUCGGCCGAGUGGUAAGGCAGCGGGCUUGCGCUGUGCUCAACGCAGAGCGAGUCGUCGUCCGGGUCACCCCGCGCGUGUCCGUUCCGCGCAUCCUCCG
Molecule: transfer RNA, 103 nt
Filed under: Streptomyces sp. QHH-9511
Lineage: Bacteria; Bacillati; Actinomycetota; Actinomycetes; Kitasatosporales; Streptomycetaceae
Description: tRNA-OTHER
Source: RNAcentral